This 472-nucleotide ribosomal RNA is filed under the name uncultured bacterium. RNAcentral describes it as "partial 16S ribosomal RNA". It matches the Rfam family "Bacterial small subunit ribosomal RNA", at positions 30 to 507 of the family's 1533-position model. The record is from RNAcentral.
AGUGAACGCUGGCGGUAGGCCUAACACAUGCAAGUCGAACAGCAGCACAGUAAGAGCUUGCUCUUACGGGUGGCGAGUGGCGGACGGGUGAGGAAUACAUCGGAAUCUACUUUUUCGUGGGGGAUAACGUAGGGAAACUUACGCUAAUACCGCAUACGACCUACGGGUGAAAGCAGGGGAUCUUCGGACCUUGCGCGAUUGAAUGAGCUGAUGUCGGAUUAGCUAGUUGGCGGGGUAAAGGCCUACCAAGGCGAGGAUGCGUAGCUGGUCUGAGAGGGUGAGCGGCCACAUUGGGACUGAGAUACGGCCCAGACUCCGACGGGAGGCAGCAGUGGGGAAUAUUGCACAAUGGGCGGAAGCCUGAUGCAGCAACGCCGCGUGCGGGAUGACGGCCUUCGGGGUGUAAAACGCUUUCGCCUGUGACGAAGCGUGAGUGACGGCAACGGGUAAAGAAGCACCGGCUAACUACGUG